Molecule: long non-coding RNA, 383 nt
Organism: Fukomys damarensis (Damara mole-rat)
Lineage: Eukaryota; Metazoa; Chordata; Mammalia; Rodentia; Bathyergidae
Exons: 4
Source: RefSeq, a predicted model, not a curated record
CAUUUUUUAAGUGAAAUGUUCCAGUUAUUUCUGACUCAAGGAUCCAAGAAAUAGAUGAGGAAACUCUGAUGAAGUUCAGAAACAUUAAAGAACAUGCCCAAGAUCUCCCAAGUAGAAAGUGUUAAAAGUGGGAUUCCAGUCGAGAACCAUCUAAAGCCCAACGCCUGGAGUUGGCUUGACAGAUAGCAGUGCUCGACAGGAGCAGCCCACUGAACAGUCCUGACUGUUGCAGCGAAAUUCCGAGUCAACAUUAACCAGGGCCAUGUGGGAGAAUUUCUCGACUUCCUCAGUACCUCAUGGAAAAACUGCAUGAUAUAAAAGGGCUGGACUCCUCGAGGGAAGGAAAUUGUGUACAAGGAAGAAAGAAAUGAUGAUCAGAGAAG